CUUUUUUUAAUUAUGCUAUUUUCCAUAUAAAAUCAUUUUAAAUGCUUAUGUUCAUUGGGUGCUAAUUUUUCUCAAUCAAUUUGUUCUAAACUUAGAUUUUUAAUCCAUAAUAUUGACAGUAUCACCUAAAGGUGAUUAUGUGACUUUUGAAGGGCUAACACAAGUAUUUAAAAGUAAUUUUAUUUAUAAAAAAAGAUUUAGAUUUAUUUGAAUUUUUUUUGUUCUUUCUUCUU
Molecule: long non-coding RNA, 233 nt
Filed under: Lathyrus oleraceus (garden pea)
Lineage: Eukaryota; Viridiplantae; Streptophyta; Magnoliopsida; Fabales; Fabaceae
Description: Pisum sativum (pea) long non-coding RNA (PSAT_LNC024161)
Source: RNAcentral